This 1352-nucleotide long non-coding RNA is filed under the name Homo sapiens (human). Its description in RNAcentral is "LNC_000007". The record is from RNAcentral. Lineage: Eukaryota; Metazoa; Chordata; Mammalia; Primates; Hominidae.
GCCCCUUAAGGAAAUGGAAAUCAACCAACCAAUGGGACAGACAGACAGACAGACAGACAGAGAUUCACUUGCCCAAGUGUUCUGUCCUGUCCUCUGAAUCCGCUUUCAAGUCGCAAGACGCUGUGAGCUCCAAGUCCACGCAGAGUCCGCCAAACGCUCCGGCCGCUGAUCCGCUCCGCGAAGAUCUGAGUACAGGCCAGCCAGGGUGGGUUUAAAUAGCCUCGGGCGCAGCCUAGCAGCGGAAAGGGCGGAGCUUCACUCCUCCUUUCCAUCAGUCACCCCCAACUUUCCCAGGCUACACCUCGUAGGAAACUGUUCUCCUGCUUUGAUUUCAUGCGCCACCUUUGGGACAAUCUAAGAACUUACAGGUUUUCUUGGCCAGAUUUAUUAGGAAUUGUAUGCACUGAAACACUGAAAACCAACUAGUGGUUCUGUGCUUCCCACGUUGUGGUUUUGACACCAGCAGCAUCCUUGCCACAAUCAAACCCCGGAGAUCCGCAGAUCUGUGUUGUAACAAGACCUCCCCCUGACCCUGAAGCAUGGCAGUUGAAGAAGUCUUUCCGUGUAAGCGAAAAGACUUUGAAGAAAAGGUGGAGAUAUGCGUUGUAUAAACAUUCUUUGGCUCUGGAACCACGUAGAGACUUGGGAGCCAGUUGGGUGGAGCAUUCGUUGGAUGAGGGUGCUCGGGUUAGGAAUAUCAAGGUGUUUCUCCAGAUAAUCCAAUCAUCUAAUUAAGAUUCCAGUUAUGCUCAUCUGUUUUAAAAUUCCGUUUGGGUAAAUUCUUUUAGUCAGACUGAGAAUGGCAAAGCCUCAACCCCAAUUUCCAGGGAGGGUGGAGAGCCUCAGGUGGAGUUGAUCACCAAUAGCCUAUGGUUUAACCCAUCAUGCCUAUAGAAUGAGGUCUCCAUCAAAACCCAAAAGGACUGGGUUCAGAGAGCUUCUGGAUAACACUUCCUGGAAGGUAGUGCACCCCUCCCCGCAUGCCGGGCCCCACAUUUAUUUCUGAACUUUGUGCAAUGUCCGCUAAAAUACAACGGCAAAUGUAAGUGUUUCCCUGCGUGCUGUGAGCUCUUCCAGCAAAUGAAUGCAACUAAAUCUGGGAGUGGUGGCAACCUGAUUUAUAGCCAGUUGCUGAGAAGCACAGGUAAAACAACGUAGGGCUUCCCAUUGUUAUUGGUGUGGGAGGCCUGUCUGGCGGGACUCGGCCCUUUGGAAUCUAAUGCUAUGUCCCGGUAGAUAGCGUCACCAUUGAAUUAGAAGACACACAUAUGUGGAGAAUAAUCUUUCUGGUCAUUUACUGCAUGUCAUAUUUACAAUAUGUAAUCAAAUUCUUUAUCCUGACCUUAUGGCAC